CCUACGGGGGGCUGCAGUGGGGAAUAUUGGGCAAUGGGCGAAAGCCUGACCCAGCAACGCCGCGUGAGUGAAGAAGGUUUUCGGAUUGUAAAACUCUGUCCUUGGGGACGAAAAAAAUGACGGUACCCGAGGAGGAAGCCCCGGCUAACUACGUGCCAGCAGCCGCGGUAAUACGUAGGGGGCAAGCGUUGUCCGGAAUUACUGGGCGUAAAGGGCGUGUAGGCGGCCUUUUAAGUUUCGUGUGAAAACCCCGUUUUCAAGGCGGGAGGUGCACGGGAUACUGGAGGGCUUGAGUGCAGGAGAGGGAAGUGGAAUUCCAAGUGUAGCGGUGAAAUGCGUAGAGAUUUGGAGGAACACCAGUGGCGAAGGCGACUUUCUGGACUGCAACUGACGCUGAGACGCGAAAGCGUGGGGAGCAAACAGGAUUAGAUACCCCGGUAGUC
Molecule: ribosomal RNA, 443 nt
Filed under: uncultured Bacillota bacterium
Lineage: Bacteria; Bacillati; Bacillota
Description: bacterial SSU rRNA
Rfam family: Bacterial small subunit ribosomal RNA
Source: RNAcentral